AUGGCCUGCAUCCCCAUUUUGAUUCUACUAUCCUUGAGUUCAUUCUGCAAAUCCGAUGACCAGCUCACAUAUGCAAAGCCACUCACAUCAGGCAACACUCUCGUCUCCAAGGGAGGGGACUUUGCGCUUGGCUUCUUCUCCCCAACCAGCUCCAACCGUACCCUCUACCUUGGCAUAUGGUACCACAACAUCCCCAAACACACAGUUGUUUGGGUUGCAAACCGCAACAAACCAAUCACCUCCUCUGUUUCUGCAGAGCUUGCCAUCAGCAACACUUCUGGGCUGAUCUUGUCCGACUCCCAAGGCCAAACUGUUUGGGCAACCAACAACAAAAUCACCGCUGGAGAUACCGGAGUUACUGCAGUGAUCCUCGACACAGGCAACUUGGUCCUCCGGUCAUCGAACGGCACAGACAUAUGGCAAAGCUUUGAUCACCCGACGGACACCGUCCUUCCUGGCAUGAGGUUCGUGCUAAGUUAUAAAGACCGUGUGGUUGGGCGUCUUGUUGCUUGGAAGGGCCCUGACGACCCUUCCGAUGGAGAUUUUUCUUUUGGCCUUGACCCCAGUUCAAAACUUCAGGUAGUAAUUUGGCAUGGAACUAGGUUGUACUGCCGCACCAUGGUUCGGAACAGUAUAACUGUAAGUGGAGGACCAUAUCGGAGCAACACGAGCUCCAUCCUUUACCAAACAGCCACUGACAUAGGAGACGAGUACUACGCUAUGUAUACAGUCUCCGAUGGCUCACCAUAUGCGCGUGCGAUGCUUGACUACACUGGAAAAAUGAAGACAUUGAGUUGGAGCAACUCCUCGUCUUCAUGGACAGUCAUCGGCGAGGUCCCCACUGCCUGCGAGUUCUACUCCUCGUGUGGCUCAUUCGGCUAUUGUGAUUUCAGUGGAACUGUCCAAAAAUGCCAGUGCCUUGAUGGGUACGAGCUUGAUGAUCUUGACUUCUCCAGAGGAUGUCGGAGAAUGGAACCUCUGAAAUGUGGAAAGCCAAAUCAUUUUGUGGCUUUGCCUGUGAUGAAGGUCCCUGCCAACUUCUUGCACAUCAAGAACAGAAGUUUCGACCAAUGCGCGGCUGAGUGCAGCAGCAAUUGCUCAUGUACAGCAUAUGCAUAUGCCAACUUGAGCAGUGAUGGCACUUAUGAAGACCCGUCAAGGUGCUUAGUCUGGACAGGGGAGCUUGUUGACACAUGGAAGUUCAGCAACAAUGGCGAGAAUUUGUACCUCCGGCUUGCUGACUCUCCAGAUCAAAAGAACAACAAUUUGGUAAAGGUUGUAACCCCGACUAUUGGAAGCCUGGUGAUACUGUCAUGCAUAGCCUUUGUAACGGUAUGCAUAUACAGAGGCAAGUGGCGAAACAAGGAAAUCGAACAAAGACAGAUGUUAAGAUAUGCCAGCUCUUCAAAUGAAAUUGGAGGCGAAUAUGUGGAGUUUCCCUUUGUUAGCUUCGAAGACAUUGCUACAGCAACGGAUAAUUUCUCUGACUCCAACCAAAUUGGAAGGGGAGGUUUCGGCAAAGUUUACAAGGGACUGCUGGAAGGUGGCAAGGAAGUUGCUGUCAAAAGGCUUAGUGAGGGUUCUAGGCAAGGUAUUGCGGAGUUUAAGAAUGAAAUAGUUCUAUUUGCUAAAUUGCAGCAUAAGAACUUAGUCAGACUUCUUGGCUGCUCCAUUCACGGAGAUGAGAGGUUACUGAUCUAUGAAUACUUACCCAACAAAAGUUUGGAUGCUUUCCUUUUUGGUGCUGCAAGACAAUCUGUGCUUGAUUGGCCCACACGGUUUAAGAUAAUUAAAGGUGUAGCAAGAGGGCUUCUUUAUCUCCACCAAGAUUCACGAUUAACUAUCAUUCAUAGAGAUCUCAAAGCAAGUAACAUUUUAUUGCAUACAAAAAUGAAUCCCAAAAUAUCAGAUUUCGGUAUGGCAAGGAUCUUUGGUGAAAACCAGCAGCAUGCAAGGACUACGCGAGUUGUUGGUACAUAUGGUUACAUGUCACCAGAAUAUGUGAUGGGAGGUGCCUUUUCUGUAAAAUCAGACAUUUAUAGCUUUGGUGUACUUCUCUUGGAGAUUGUAAGUGGUUUCAAGAUCAGCUCAUCAGAACUCACGACCAACUUCUCCAACCUUAUAGCUUAUGCAUGGAGGCUAUGGGAAGACGGAAACGCCGCAGAAUUGGUGGAAUCAUCUGUCUUAGAGAGGUGUCCUCUAGAAGAAGCUGUACGGUGCAUUCAUGUAGGACUCUUGUGUGUUCAAAACCAUCCUGAUGAUCGCCCCCUAAUGUCAUCUGUUAUAUUCAUGUUGGAGAACGGAAGUGCGCUGGUUCCAGCACCAAAGAAACCCGCGUAUUAUGCUCUAGGUAAUUGUGAAGUCGGACAAGCGACAGAACAGAUGGAAAAAUCUAUGAAUGGGAUAAGCAUCACAACUCUAGAUGGCCGUUAG
Molecule: ribosomal RNA, 2433 nt
Filed under: Triticum aestivum (bread wheat)
Lineage: Eukaryota; Viridiplantae; Streptophyta; Magnoliopsida; Poales; Poaceae
Description: partial small subunit ribosomal RNA
Source: RNAcentral